GAGUGUGUACACAUCAUCAACAAAUUGUUCAACAUUAAGGUUCACCUUAGCACACGCUACCACGACAUGCGCACAUGGAUAAUGAAGUGUUUGGAACCUCCUGCAAUCACACCGUUUGUUACAGAGAUCAACUCCAUAGGACCUAGGUGGUAUACCGGAUCGACGACUGAUGGUCUCUGUAACAAGAAAUGUUUCAUGGCAUCGUGAAUAUAUUUCUACAUUCG
Molecule: long non-coding RNA, 224 nt
Filed under: Gossypium barbadense (sea-island cotton)
Lineage: Eukaryota; Viridiplantae; Streptophyta; Magnoliopsida; Malvales; Malvaceae
Description: long non-coding RNA (GBAR_LNC010483)
Source: RNAcentral